AACGAACGCUGGCGGCAUGCCUAACACAUGCAAGUCGAACGAUGCUUUCGGGCAUAGUGGCGCACGGGUGCGUAACGCGUGGGAAUCUGCCCUUGGGUUCGGAAUAACAGUGAGAAAUUGCUGCUAAUACCGGAUGAUGUCUUCGGACCAAAGAUUUAUCGCCCAGGGAUGAGCCCGCGUAGGAUUAGCUAGUUGGUGGGGUAAUGGCCUACCAAGGCGACGAUCCUUAGCUGGUCUGAGAGGAUGAUCAGCCACACUGGGACUGAGAGACGGCCCAGACUCCUACGGGAGGCAGCAGUGGGGAAUAUUGGACAAUGGGCGCAAGCCUGAUCCAGCAAUGCCGCGUGAGUGAUGAAGGCCUUAGGGUUGUAAAGCUCUUUUACCCGGGAUGAUAAUGACAGUACCGGGAGAAUAAGCUCCGGCUAACUCCGUG
This 433-nucleotide ribosomal RNA is filed under the name uncultured bacterium. RNAcentral's name for it is "partial 16S ribosomal RNA". It matches the Rfam family "Bacterial small subunit ribosomal RNA", at positions 29 to 507 of the family's 1533-position model. The record is from RNAcentral.